This 210-nucleotide ribosomal RNA is filed under the name uncultured bacterium. Its description in RNAcentral is "partial 16S ribosomal RNA". It matches the Rfam family "Bacterial small subunit ribosomal RNA", at positions 306 to 526 of the family's 1533-position model. The record is from RNAcentral.
CGCCUCCCUCCGCCGCCACUCAGACUCCGUACGGGAGGCGAGCAGUGAGGAAUAUUGGUCAAUGGACGCAAGUCUGAACCACGCCAUGCCGCGUGAAGGAUGAAGCCUUCUGGUUGUAACUUCUUUACCUGGAAGAACCCGAUUUCUAAUCGGUUGACGGUACCAGAGGAAUAAGCACCGGCUAACUCCGUGCCAGCAGCCGCGUAAUAC